UUUAUAGUUCGUUCUUAUGUUGUACUGUUAUACCACUGUCCCAGGUUAGGGGGAGGGUUGGGAUCCCGCUAACAUGUUUAACCCCGCCACAUUAUUUAUGUAUGUGCCUGUUCCAAGUCAGGAGCCUGUAAUUCAGUGGUUGUCGUUUGUUUAUGUGUUACAUAUUUGUUUUUCGUUCAUUUUUUUACAUAAAUGAGGCCGUUAGUUUUCUCGUUUGAAUUGUUUUACAUUGUCUUAUCG
Molecule: long non-coding RNA, 240 nt
Filed under: Mytilus galloprovincialis (Mediterranean mussel)
Lineage: Eukaryota; Metazoa; Mollusca; Bivalvia; Mytilida; Mytilidae
Source: RNAcentral